AUGCCCUAUUUGAAGGACUAUGGGCAUCAUUGGCAUAAACGCAAGAAAGAUAACCCAGAUGACAUUGUUGCUAUUUUAGCUGUGAGAGGACCACCAAAGAAGACGGCAAAGACCACCAAAGCAUCAAUUGUGCCUUGCAAGGAUGAUGCUCCAGCAGCCUCUAUGUGCUUUCCGCCAAGCCAAAGCUUGGAACCUACAACUACGAAAAAGAGAAAAACUGAUAACUCAAUUACUGGAGCAUCAAAAAUCCAAAUGUUGGAGAAAACAACUAAGAAAAAAGGGAAAGGGAGUAAAUCUGGACCCGGAGUAGAAAAAGGUCAAGAACUCAGUCCAUUUGUGUGGCCAACAAGAAAACAUCUGUUGCUGUCUAGGUACAUGCCAAAAGAAAAGGCAAAGAGGUUGCUGAUAAGUUGCCACACCUUCCUAUGGUGCCACAUGAGAGCCCUGCAAUGGGCACACGAAGCAAAAAAAUGA
Molecule: ribosomal RNA, 474 nt
Filed under: Triticum aestivum (bread wheat)
Lineage: Eukaryota; Viridiplantae; Streptophyta; Magnoliopsida; Poales; Poaceae
Description: partial small subunit ribosomal RNA
Source: RNAcentral